AGUAACUGCCAUCUCUUUGGAACGAACGAACCCAAGAAAAAACCGCCAUCUAGGGUUUUAAACUAAACCCUGCAACUGUUAAUCCUUGGACCAAUUUCUCAGUCUUGCGCUUCGAUGGAGAAUCCAAAGAAGAAGAAGAAAACCAGUCAAAAUCCUGAGGCAAAGUUCCAAUUUGAGCUCAACUCAUGUUCCAAGGCUAAGGACCUGCGAGGCGCCAUAUCCCUCUAUGACGACGCCGUUUUGAACAAUACGCGCCUCAACCAACACCACUUCAAUGCCCUCCUCUACCUCUGCUCCAACUCCGUCGCCGACGACUUGCUCAAAACCACCGCACUCGAUUACGGUUUCCGCGCCUUCCGCCACAUGUCCUCUCUUGGCGUCGUUCCCAAUGAGGCCUCCGUCACUGCCGUUGCGCGCCUCGCUGCGGCCAAGGGUGACGCCGAUUAUGCCUUCGAGUUGGUGAAGGGCAUGGGCAAGUACAACAACGCUACCCCGAGGCUGCGAACCUACGAUCCUGCGUUGUUCUGUUUCUGUGAAAUGCUAGACGCGGAUAAGGCCUACGAGGUGGAGGAGCACAUGAAUGGCGUUGGGGUGAGUUUGGAGGAGGCGGAACUCGCCGCGCUUUUGAAGGUGAGUGCGCGGAGUGGUAGAGCGGACAAGGUGUAUGAGUAUUUGCAUAAUCUUAGAAGCUGUGUGAGGUGUGUUAGUGAGUCCACUGCGGUGGUUGUUGAGGAGUGGUUUUGUGGUGCCAAGGCCUCUGAGGUUGGUGAGGUGGAAUUUGAUGUGGGGCAGGUCAAAGAGGGGGUUUUGCGGAAUGGGGGAGGGUGGCAUGGUCAGGGAUGGAUUGGUAAAGGGGAUUGGGCCGUCAACAGAACGAGUGUUGGUGCCGAUGGACAUUGUUGUUGUUGUGGGGAGCAAUUGGUUUGUGUUGAUAUUGAUGAUUCGGAGACGGAGAAGUUUGCAGGGUCUGUUGCUGGCUUGGCCUUGGAACGAGAGGUCAAGGCCAAUUUUAGUGAAUUUCAGGCCUGGCUUGAAAAGCAUGACGCUUAUGAAGCUAUAGUGGAUGGAGCAAAUGUUGGGCUCUACAAACAAAAUUUUGCUGAUGGUGGAUUUGGCAUUUCUCAGCUUGAUUGUGUUGUAAAAGAACUUUACAAUCAGAGUGGGAAUAAAUGGCCGCUCGUUGUGCUGCACAAUAAGCGCCUAAGAGGGCUAAUGGAAAAUCCUUCCAGCAGGAAACUGGUGGAGGAGUGGAUGAAUAAUGGUGCACUGUAUACAACUCCUAAUGGGUCCAAUGAUGAUUGGUAUUGGCUCUUUGCCGCAGUAAAACUUAGGUGUUUGCUUGUGACAAAUGAUGAAAUGCGAGAUCACAUAUUUGAACUCAUAGGAAGUAACUUUUUUAACCAGUGGAAAGAAAGACAUCAGGUUCACUACACUUUUAUGAAAGGAAACCUAAAGCUUCAGAUGCCUCCAUCAUAUUCAUUGGUUAUCCAGGUAAUGUUGGAGUGGCCACUCUACUACUGUUCCUUCUGGGAUGCGCUUGCAUUUUGUUCUGUGUGACAACUUAGUAGUUUUGAUCUUUUGGUAUUCGAGGGGAGAUGGUAGGAAGUUAGGACUUAGGGACCCAAGAUUGAGGACUGAGGGUAAAGGGAUUCUAUUGUGUUCUGUCAGUGUAAGCUUCAAAACAUAAACGAAUCACAGACGAAGGAAAAAACAUAAGUGUAAAAGGGGCUGCUUUACUUCUUAAUUAGUUUCAUAUUACAAAAAUAGCGUAGAAACCGGUGAAGUUGUAUGUUUGGAAAUUGAAGUUGGAUAUCUGAUGAUUGUUAUUAGUGAAACAUUGUAUAAGAGCAUUGAGAUUAUUCACGUGGUAUCUAAGCUGAGCUUGCAAACAUAAAAAUCCUAACUACUUCAGCAUCCAAAAUGAAUCGGAAAAAGGUUAUUGGCAUGUGCCGCUAGCACCGGGCACUAGCAGUGAGUCUUCGAUAUGUUGGCUCUGCAUUACCCGGCCAAGUGGUCAUGAUGCUG
Molecule: RNA transcript, 2025 nt
Organism: Vigna angularis (adzuki bean)
Lineage: Eukaryota; Viridiplantae; Streptophyta; Magnoliopsida; Fabales; Fabaceae
Gene name: proteinaceous RNase P 2-like
Exons: 6
Source: RefSeq, a predicted model, not a curated record